AGUGAACGCUGGCGGUAGGCCUAACACAUGCAAGUCGAACGGCAGCACAGUAAGAGCUUGCUCUUACGGGUGGCGAGUGGCGGACGGGUAAGGAAUACAUCGGAAUCUACUUUUUCGUGGGGGAUAACGUAGGGAAACUUACGCUAAUACCGCAUACGACCUACGGGUGAAAGCAGGGGAUCUUCGGACCUUGCGCGAUUGAAUGAGCCGAUGUCGGAUUAGCUAGUUGGCGGGGUAAAGGCCCGCCAAGGCGACGAUCCGUAGCUGGUCUGAGAGGAUGAUCAGCCACACUGGAACUGAGACACGGUCCAGACUCCUACGGGAGGCAGCAGUGGGGAAUAUUGGACAAUGGGCGCAAGCCUGAUCCAGCCAUACCGCGUGGGUGAAGAAGGCCUUCGGGUUGUAAAGCCCUUUUGUUGGGAAAGAAAAGCAGCAGGUUAAUACCCCGCUGUUCUGACGGUACCCAAAGAAUAAGCACCGGCUAACUUCGUG
RNAcentral lists this ribosomal RNA (492 nucleotides) under uncultured bacterium. RNAcentral describes it as "partial 16S ribosomal RNA". It matches the Rfam family "Bacterial small subunit ribosomal RNA", at positions 29 to 507 of the family's 1533-position model. The record is from RNAcentral.